This 72-nucleotide transfer RNA is filed under the name Methanosarcinales archaeon. RNAcentral's name for it is "tRNA-Arg". It matches the Rfam family "tRNA". Rfam says of the family: Transfer RNA (tRNA) molecules are approximately 80 nucleotides in length. Their secondary structure includes four short double-helical elements and three loops (D, anti-codon, and T loops). Further hydrogen bonds mediate the characteristic L-shaped molecular structure. tRNAs have two regions of fundamental functional importance: the anti-codon, which is responsible for specific mRNA codon recognition, and the 3' end, to which the tRNAs corresponding amino acid is attached (by aminoacyl-tRNA synthetases). tRNAs cope with the degeneracy of the genetic code in two manners: having more than one tRNA (with a specific anti-codon) for a particular amino acid; and 'wobble' base-pairing, i.e. permitting non-standard base-pairing at the 3rd anti-codon position. Lineage: Archaea; Methanobacteriati; Methanobacteriota; Methanomicrobia; Methanosarcinales. RNAcentral also lists the same sequence under 1 other name. The record is from RNAcentral.
GCCCCGAUGGGGUAGAGGAUAUCCUGAAGGCCUGCGGAGCCUUUGACCCGGGUUCGAGUCCCGGUCGGGGCA